ACCAAACAAAGGAGGAUCCUAACUUCGAAGGGAAGGGAAGGGAAGGGUAAGUCAGACUCAGAUCCCAGUCAUGUUGUCCAAUCAAAGAGCAGUGGUCCCUAUUCACUCGCCACUAAAACCCUCUUCACUUCUACUCUUCUAGUCUAGAGCCGACCAGAAGCCCACCUCUCCUCAUCUCUCCUUCAGAUCUCUCUCAAACCAAUUCUACUUUCUUUUCCAAAGAGGUGAUCCCAAACCCUAGCUUCCUCUAUUUCACUCUAUUCUCUUAUAAUUUUUCCCCCUUUUUCAGCUUUUGAUUGUAGUUAUUAUUGAUGAUCAUCUUUAACCCUAAAACAUUUAUGGGUGUUAUGGCUUUUUUUUUUAUCUGUCGUGGAUGCGUUAUUUUCCUUUUCGAUCCGUUUCCUGACCAUGAAAUUUGCGAUUUGUUGUGCUAUAGAGAUAAACGUCGAUUGUUUAACUUGUAAUUUUAUCUUGUAGUAGUGAAAUUUGUGGAUUUUUUGUUUGUAUUUAUUUAUUUUGUUAGCUUUUGAUAUAUAUUUUUUGAUCCCCAAAACAUUUAUAUUUGUUUGGAGCAUUAGAUGAUCAUAAUUUCUGGGUCGAAGGCGGGAUUUUAGAAUUUACUAUGCCUUUCGUGUCAAUAGCCUUCAAGCCUUGAGUUGCUUGGUGAUGUAUUUUGGGUGUGAACCAUUGAUGUCUAAUGCGAGCUUCAUUUUUUUAUUUUGUUAUAAUUUUUGAGCUGAGUUGGUUUGCAUUGACCUUUGAUUUUUGUGAAUGAUUCAAUAAUCUGAUAGUUGUAACUUUGCUGGGGAUGCAGUGGUUUCUUAUAGAUGUGUUGCAUUUGGACCAGCAUACUUAUAGCUUCACUUUCUAAAUGUGGUCAUUUUAAGUUUCUUAACAGCCAAACAAAUAAUUUCUUUUCUGUCUUUUGGAAUAUUUAAUUUUGUUUUGUGGGGAUGAAUAGUUAAUAUUUCUCUCAUUCUUUCUUGUGGAUGCAGCUAUUUCGAUGUAUUUAGGGGGUUUUAACUUUUCAAGUUUUAAUCUCCCACUUUGUCAAAGUUAUUCACUUUACUACUCUUGCCAAUGUAGGUUUCUUGAAAAUGGCUGAAUCAAAAUCAGGAUUGCGGAAACCUGUAUUCACCAAGAUUGACCAGCUCCGCCCAGGCACCAGUGGGCAUACUCUCAAUGUGAAGGUUGUUAGUACAAAGAUGGUCUUGCAGAAGGGCCGUUCUGAUGGUCCUCAAGUACGCCAGAUGCGAAUUGCUGAAUGUUUGGUAGGAGAUGAAACUGGAAUGAUUAUCUUUACUGCUAGAAAUGAUCAAGUGGACUUGAUGAAAGAGGGAACUACUGUAACCCUUCGCAAUGCAAAAAUUGACAUGUUUAAAGGAUCCAUGAGACUUGCUGUGGACAAAUGGGGACGUGUUGAAGUAACUGAACCUGCCAGUUUCACUGUGAAGGAGGAUAACAACCUGUCACUGAUUGAAUAUGAACUUGUGAACGUAGUUGAAGAGUGACUUCUUUGUGCAACGUUGCAAGCAUUACUAGAUGAUGAUAUGAGAAUAAAAAACAAAUCCAGCAAAGCAAAUUACUGGACGUGUCUUGUCCAAAAAUGCCUGUGAAAGUUCACAUUUAGGAAGAAGAAAUUUGCAAGUUAGUACCGCACUAGUUGCUUUUACUUUGACGGCAGAUCCAGUACAACCCGGCGAGUUAAAGCAGUUGCCUUUGGAAACUUAGCAUGGUUUGCUUGCUAAUCGAACUUAUUACAGAUAUCAAAUUUAUCAAGUGUAUGUUGCUGUACUCGGUUUAUUAUAGUUCAAUGCUUAAUCUUUCUAUUUAAGGUAGCAUUUUUCGAUCUUAUUUCUGCGCAUAAAUUUUUUACUGGUUGGUAUUGUAAUGUUUUUGGUUUUUGUACAAUGGUAAGAUAAAUAUAGGACAAAUUAUAAUUUGAAACAAAAUUAUCUGUGGUGCAAUUAAGUCUGUAAAUUAGCCCUGUUAAAGUUGAACUUAAAUUAGCAGGUUUUUCCUCUUUAAAAUUUCCGAUUGUACUUUUCUUUAAUAUGGGAAAACCCAAUAAUUUCUCUUGCU
RNAcentral lists this unclassified non-coding RNA (2082 nucleotides) under Hevea brasiliensis (rubber tree). The record is from RNAcentral. Lineage: Eukaryota; Viridiplantae; Streptophyta; Magnoliopsida; Malpighiales; Euphorbiaceae.